RNAcentral lists this ribosomal RNA (492 nucleotides) under uncultured bacterium. RNAcentral describes it as "partial 16S ribosomal RNA". It matches the Rfam family "Bacterial small subunit ribosomal RNA", at positions 30 to 507 of the family's 1533-position model. The record is from RNAcentral.
AUUGAACGCUGGCGGCAUGCCUUACACAUGCAAGUCGAACGGCAGCACGGUAACUUGCUGCUGUUGGCGAGUGGCGAAGGGGUGAGUAUUACAUCGGCACAUGUCCCGACGUGGUGGUUGGCCCGGAGGAAGCCGGAUUUAUACUACUAACGCACAACGGCUGAAAGCGGGGGCCCUGGGGCUCCCGCGCUUGCGGGAUGGCAUGUGGCGAUUUAGGAUUAGGGAGUUGGGGGGGUAAAGGCCGACCAAGGCGACGAUCCGUAGCUGGUCUGAGAGGAUGACCAGCCACACUGGGACUGAGACACGGUCCAGACUCCUACGGGAGGCAGCAGUGGGGAAUUUUGGACAAUGGGCGAAAGCCUGAUCCAGCAAUGCCGCGUGGGUGAAGAAGGCCUUCGGGUUGUAAAGCCCUUUUGUCCGGAAAGAAAACCUUGGCCCUAAUACGGUCGUGUGAUGACGGUACCGGAAGAAUAAGCACCGGCUAACUACGUG